This 85-nucleotide non-coding RNA is filed under the name Clostridium magnum. RNAcentral describes it as "ZTP sequence". It matches the Rfam family "ZMP/ZTP riboswitch aptamer (pfl RNA motif)". Rfam says of the family: Previously known as pfl RNA. ZMP is also known as AICAR. The record is from RNAcentral. Lineage: Bacteria; Bacillati; Bacillota; Clostridia; Eubacteriales; Clostridiaceae. RNAcentral also lists the same sequence under 1 other name.
AGAGAGUCGCAUUACUGGCGGAAGUGGAGUUUACCACAGGGAGUGCGAUUUAUAAAGUAAAAUGUCGACCGCCUGGGCAAAUGUC